UACGUAGGUGGCAAGCGUUGUUCGGAAUUCCUGGGCGUAAAGGGCUCGUAGGCGGCCAACUAAGUCAGACGUGAAAUCCCUCGGCUUAACCGGGGAACUGCGUCUGAUACUGGAUGGCUUGAGAUUGGGAGAGGGAUGCGGAAUUCCAGGUGUAGCGGUGAAAUGCGUAGAUAUCUGGAGGAACACCGGUGGCGAAGGCGGCAUCCUGGACCAACACUGACGCUGAGGGAGCGAAAGCCAGGGGAGCAAACGGG
Molecule: ribosomal RNA, 254 nt
Filed under: uncultured bacterium
Lineage: Bacteria
Description: partial 16S ribosomal RNA
Rfam family: Bacterial small subunit ribosomal RNA
Source: RNAcentral